UACGGAAGGCAGCAGUGGGGAAUCUUGCGCAAUGGGCGAAAGCCUGACGCAGCCAUGCCGCGUGAAUGAUGAAGGUCUUAGGAUUGUAAAAUUCUUUCACCGGGGACGAUAAUGACGGUACCCGGAGAAGAAGCCCGGCUAACUUCGUGCCAGCAGCCGCGGUAAUACGAAGGGGCUAGCGUUGCUCGGAAUUACUGGGCGUAAAGGGCGCGUAGGCGGAUCGUUAAGUCAGAGGUGAAAUCCCAGGGCUCAACCCUGGAACUGCCUUUGAUACUGGCGAUCUUGAGUAUGAGAGAGGUAUGUGGAACUCCGAGUGUAGAGGUGAAAUUCGUAGAUAUUCGGAAGAACACCAGUGGCGAAGGCGACAUACUGGCUCAUUACUGACGCUGAGGCGCGAAAGCGUGGGGAGCAAACAGGGAUUAGAUACC
This 428-nucleotide ribosomal RNA is filed under the name uncultured bacterium. RNAcentral describes it as "bacterial SSU rRNA". It matches the Rfam family "Bacterial small subunit ribosomal RNA", at positions 340 to 786 of the family's 1533-position model. The record is from RNAcentral.